UUUUCUGUGACCGCACGAUUGUGACGUGUUUACCGUGGAAUAGAUUAAAUGAUAAUGAUUUGGUUUUGGCCCAAAAAAUUCAAUUGCCGGAACGUCUGUCGUGAGUCGUGAAAGGUUAUUGUGUUCUAAGGUCAAGGUUUUUCUUCUUAUGACCUCAUGAUUGACUAAUUUUCGUACGUGGUAAAAGUAGUAUGGAAAGUAUUAACGACGAUAAAAUACAGAAGACACUCGUGACACCGGGCAUUGGUGGUCAGCCUACUUUCUCCAACGGAACAAAAGUAUCGUUUCAUUUUGUAACGCGAAUUGUUGGCAGUAACAUUGUGGUAGACGAUAGUUACAAAUGGCCCAAGCACAUGGAAAUCGUUUUGGGAAAAAAAUUCAAAUUAGAAGUCUGGGAAACUAUUUUAAAGUCAAUGCGUGAAGGAGAAAUUUCAAAAUUUAUUGUUCAUAAAAGUUUGGUAGCGUCUUAUCCGUUCAUUUCCAAGACGUUGCGGGAUGCUGGUCGCACGUCAAUUCCCAGCACGAGUCAUUGUUGCACAGCACAACUUCAAAAAAACGGCACCGGUUAUGAUGACCUCAACGAUUUACUAGCAGAUCCAGCGGAUUUGGAAUUCACUAUAGAUUUAUUGAAGAUCGAGGUUCCUGGUUCAUUCGAAAAGGAAACUUGGCUACUGGAUGAAAAUGAAAAACGAAACACAAUACCCGAACUCAAAGAAGCUGGUAACGAAUUAUACCACAAAGGUAAAUACAAAGAAGCUGAAGAAAAAUACAUGUUGGCUCUCGGAUUCUUGGAACAAAUCAUGAUGAAACUCAAACCGCGUGAAAAAGAAUGGGACGAAUUGAACAAAAUAAAGACUCCACUGUUAUUAAAUUUGGCUCAAUGCAAGCUUAUUUCUAAGGAUUAUUACCAAGUCAUAGAACACUGUACAUCAAUUUUAGAAGACGAUCCUGAUAACGUCAAAGCAUUAUUCAGACGUGGAAAAGCAAAUAUAUCCGUGUGGAAAAUGAACGAAGCCAGAGAAGAUUUAAAACAUCUUUCGACUCUGGAUCCUAGUAUGCAAGUUUCGGUCAACCGAUUACUUUGUCAAAUUAACGAAGCAUUGAAGAUAAAAGACGACGAAGAUAGACAAAAAUUAAGAGGAAAGCUUUUCUGAAAAACCGUUUUUCAUUUUAAUUAUUAAAUUAUGAUAUUAAUGUUAUGAAAAUAUAUUAUUUCGGUUUUCUUUUAAAACGACGCGUGAUUCAUGAAUUUAUUAUUCAUGUUUUAGAUAUAUUUGAUGCGAACAUUUUCUGAAACACUUAAAUAUGUCAAUUCCAAUUGUUAAUGAUAUAUAUUUCUAUACAAUUUAUAUUUAUGAUUUUAACAUGAAUGAAAAGUGAUAAUCAAAUUAUAAUAAUGAUGUAUUUGUAAGUUAACUAUACCUAUCUAUACUUAUCAUUAAUUUAAUUUUAGAACAGUA
Molecule: unclassified non-coding RNA, 1460 nt
Filed under: Rhopalosiphum maidis (corn leaf aphid)
Lineage: Eukaryota; Metazoa; Arthropoda; Insecta; Hemiptera; Aphididae
Description: hydroxymethylglutaryl-CoA synthase 2, transcript variant X4
Source: RNAcentral